GAGCGAAAUUAAGCUGCACCUUUAAAGCGCGUUCACUCCAGUUAUUCGGCUCCCACUCCGUCGACGGUCUGGCCCAGUUACUCCCCAGCUUGUGUAUAGGUUUCCCCCCUCCGUUACUGCCUCCUUUUCACGACCCGCACCAGACGCUAAACUCGUACCCAGUGAGUCUACAGGCCUCGACGUGUCGUCCAAUGUCGCGAUCCCCUCUUGGCUCCUGCCCUCGUGGAUUUUGAUCUCGCUUGUUUGCAUUGCGGGUUUUUUUUUUUUUUGCGGUGUUCAGACUGGGUAGGAAACAGUCGCACGGCAUUUUUAACAACCAACACCUGCUUCACCACGUUUAGGGACCCCAGGCAAACAGGAACUGACAUGCAAGGCAACCAGCUCACCGGAAACCUUGCAUAUGAUAGACUAGGCUCCAGACCCCCCGCGACCCAUCCCGGAAGCAAUGGGCACGAGGCACGGAACAACCCAGGAUGGGGGGCCAGCCCAUCGCACGCCAUGGUCAGACGGGCAGCCCUGGUGUGAAACGCCGACCGCUAUAGCGUAAGAAAAGUGCAGCGUUACCAGGAUUGGGCUCCGGUCACCGGAACUGACUGCUGAUCAGAUUUUAUUCUCACUUAUCAUCUGCUGCAAUGAUCUAUACCUGAGAAGAAACUGACAUACAAACUGUACAUUAAACAAACUAAAUCCAA
Molecule: long non-coding RNA, 692 nt
Organism: Brienomyrus brachyistius
Lineage: Eukaryota; Metazoa; Chordata; Actinopteri; Osteoglossiformes; Mormyridae
Exons: 3
Source: RefSeq, a predicted model, not a curated record